GGGAACAACCCUAGCAGACUGUACCAACAUGCCCCCUGCAGAUACAACAUUUUUGAUUUUUAAGCUCUUGGUGGGAAGAAGGAAUUAAAUGCGCACUUAACUGGAGACUGUUUAUUAAAGUAUAAUGAGGUGGGACCCCCCCUUUGUUUGCUUGGCCCCUUCCGCUUUCCAUGAGGAAAUGACCAGACAGACAGCACAGCUUUGGGAGGAUGCAAACAGGAUUAUGGUAAGUACAGAGAAGACAAGAGCCUUUUAUCUGAAUAAAAGUUAUCUGUAAUGCCUGUAUUCAACCAACAGGAAGCCC
Molecule: long non-coding RNA, 304 nt
Organism: Xenopus tropicalis (tropical clawed frog)
Lineage: Eukaryota; Metazoa; Chordata; Amphibia; Anura; Pipidae
Exons: 3
Source: RefSeq, a predicted model, not a curated record